Long non-coding RNA from Vulpes vulpes (red fox), 911 nucleotides. The record is from Ensembl. NCBI's taxonomy places the organism in Eukaryota, Metazoa, Chordata, Mammalia, Carnivora, Canidae.
GUACAGCAAGGAAGAGAAGAAAAGAUGAACACCUGCCCUAAACAAUAAAGCAGCACAAGCAUAAGCUAUGUACGGUGCAGUAAACAAAACAGAGACGUAAUACAUUCAAGUAAGAGCCAACAGGAUUCAACACAAAAGAAAGUAUUGUCAAUUUUUCUAGUGGAUAAAAGUUGAUAUGUCAAAAGGCUGAUGAAACUACAUACUGGUCAGGAAUGAACAAAGAGAAUAUACAUGCUACUGGCCCUGCUCUGAGUCAAUGGAUAGCUUUCUAGUGAGGCAUUAAGAAUUAUCUGGAAAGGCCAAGAGGAUGAUAGCCUAAAAAAUGACAGCAGGCUUGGCUUGUAUAACUGAAGCCCUUCAGUGAAAUUCUUUCAUGGUAGAUUGGCAAAGAACGUACGGAGUCAUUUUGAAGGGAUAUAUGGUAAUGGAUGAGAAGAAGCGAUCACUUCAGGCACUUAACGACUGAUGAAAGUGGGACAGUUUGCUUCAAAUGAUUCAGAAGCAUAAAUAGGACUAACAUAAUUGAAUGGGCUUUUCCCCUAUUCUGGGAGAAUGAGCAUCAAUUCCAUCUUUUUUGGAGGAAUUAAACAAAGGUGUGAACAACUGAAGAGAAGGAGCGUGGAGUCCUCUCCCAAGGAGAGCCUGAGUAGCCAGGUGGGUAGCUUACAGGCAAGCACAGUUCCAAGAAACAACAACAACAACAACAACAACAGAACCAAAAAAGAUCUAAGCUUGCCCACAGCAACAAGGUUUGUUUAUCACAAAAGACUUCUUUCCAUUAUGUUGUUUAAAUUUCUAAUUUGGUAGCCAUCAAAUUAGAAGCACUGAGGUAUGUUAAUUGAAGUGUCUUCUGCCAAAUUCCUGAGAGCAUAUAGAUAUGAAUAUUUUAUUACAAAGGAUUCGGGGCAAAG